AGGAUGAACGCUGGCGGCGUGCCUAACACAUGCAAGUCGAACGUCCUGUCUCGCAAGAGGCAGGGAGUGGCGGACGGGUGAGUACCACGUGGGUCAUCUACCGUGAGGUGAGGAAUACCGGCGAGAAAUCGCCGACAAGACCGCAUAGCCUCGGUGCAAGCCGAGGAAAGCUUUCUCGAGAGAGGGAGCGCCACACGAGGAGCCUGCGCCCGAUUAGCUAGCUGGUGGAGUAACGGUUCACCAGGGCGACGAUCGGUAGCUGGUCUGAGAGGACGAUCAGCCACACUGGGAUUGAGAACGGCCCAGACUCCUACGGGGGGCAGCAGUGAGGAAUUUUCGUCAAUGGGGCAACCCUGAACGAGCAACGCCGCGUGCAGGAAGAAGGUUUUCGGAUCGUAAACUGCUUUUCUCGGGGAAGAGAACGGACGGUACCCGAGGAAUCAGCCCGGCUAACUACGUGCCAGCAGCCGCGGUAA
This 476-nucleotide ribosomal RNA is filed under the name uncultured bacterium. Its description in RNAcentral is "SSU rRNA". It matches the Rfam family "Bacterial small subunit ribosomal RNA", at positions 26 to 523 of the family's 1533-position model. The record is from RNAcentral.